This 301-nucleotide ribosomal RNA is filed under the name uncultured bacterium. RNAcentral describes it as "partial 16S ribosomal RNA". It matches the Rfam family "Bacterial small subunit ribosomal RNA", at positions 509 to 807 of the family's 1533-position model. The record is from RNAcentral.
CAGCCGCCACGGUAAUACGUAGGGUGCAAGCGUUAAUCGGAAUUACUGGGCGUAAAGCGUGCGCAGGCGGUUAUAUAAGUCAGAUGUGAAAUCCCCGGGCUCAACCUGGGAACUGCAUUUGAGACUGUAUGGCUAGAGUGUGUCAGAGGGGGGUAGAAUUCCACGUGUAGCAGUGAAAUGCGUAGAUAUGUGGAGGAAUACCGAUGGCGAAGGCAGCCCCCUGGGAUAACACUGACGCUCAUGCACGAAAGCGUGGGGAGCAAACAGGAUUAGAUACCCCGGUAGUCCCUGUCUCUUAUAC